Molecule: long non-coding RNA, 1331 nt
Filed under: Vombatus ursinus (common wombat)
Lineage: Eukaryota; Metazoa; Chordata; Mammalia; Diprotodontia; Vombatidae
Description: lncRNA (ENSVURG00010003896.1)
Source: RNAcentral
CUCAGAGAGGCUCAGGACUCCGUUUCCCAGAAGUCUCCACAAGGCAUCUCCACGGCUGGGCGGAGUAAGGCAGAGCUUUUGCGCAGGCGCAAUGUUCAGCUGGCGCUGGGAGCGAGCUGCGGGCUGCUGGGGGAGGCCAGGGAGAGGCGCACUACGAGAUUUCCCGUCUUUCAGAUUUGCCCGUCCUCGAGAGGACGGUCCAGAGGAAGAGGGAAUGGCUUCUGCGGUUCUGCUGGCCAGGGUCCAGGUGAGUUGGAGGUCUCUUUUCUCCGUAGGAUUGAUUUCACGGGUUCCCGACCAUAGACAGGCAGCUUUCCUGAGUUCUGGUUAAGUGCUGGGGGUGGCAGUUGAUGAGAGUUAGCAGCAAACUCACCUGUCUAGACCUGUGUCUGAGGGUGCCCUCCUUGUCUCUAAUAGUAGAGGUCUAUUGGAGAUGGUCCAUCUCCUUAACUUUACUAUGGAAACUGAGGCUGACAGAGGAAAACUUGUUUUUCCAGCCUUCCCCAAGUCAGUAACAGAGUUGGGGCCUGAGCCCAGAUAACCUGGCUCCCCGGGACCAGCUUGACCCCCAGAACCUCUUCAGAUCCGCCUCUGUCCCUCCUGGGCUCGUCCUCACCCCCAGGGCUUUGUCAAGGUGACCACCAGGCCAGCACGCAUAUGUUUGGUGUUGCAGGAGGCAGUGACGUUCAAGGAUGUAUCUGUGGACUUUACCCAGGAGGAGUGGGGGUGCCUGAGUCCUGUUCAGAGGGAGCUCUACAGGGAGGUGAUGCUGGAGAACUACAGGAACCUGGUCUCCCUGGGUAAGGCCGCCUCCCAGUGAGGCUUUACCUUCAGGAGUCUGGGCUGAAAAGUGAGGAGCGCAGUCUCGGGGCCCUGAGCGCUCAGCUCACGUGGUUCUGAAAGAGAGACGGCUACUCUCCUGGACCCAGACACGCCUCUGCAUCCUCCUGGACUCUCCCCCAGGUCUCGACUCCUGAGGCAGGGACUGCUCUGGCCAGACGUCCGCAGGGGUGGGCCACGCCCCUCCCCCAUAGGAGUGGAACAUUCAGUUUUGCCCCAACAAAUAACCAAACGUUAGGGUGUUGGUAUCGGGCGGGUGGUUGGAGAUUGUCCAUCCUCUGCUGCGCCUUUAUUGUGGUGGAAGAUGAGGUCUAGAAAGGGUGAGCAAUUUCUCCAAGGCGCCGCUGGGAGAGGGGCAGAAGUGUGUCUCGAAACGCUGCCGGACUCCACCCCAGGCCUUUUCCGGCUUCGCCCUAUCACCCCUCUCCUGCCCCUUCCUGGGAACAGAGUCUUCCUGUCGUGGGAGGGGAAUCAAGACUAGUUCUGAGGAC